This 420-nucleotide ribosomal RNA is filed under the name uncultured archaeon. RNAcentral's name for it is "bacterial SSU rRNA". It matches the Rfam family "Archaeal small subunit ribosomal RNA", at positions 582 to 997 of the family's 1478-position model. The record is from RNAcentral.
UACUGUUGAACUUGAGGUCGGGAGAGGUUAGCGGUACGUCCCACGGGUAGAGGUGAAAUUCUGUAAGUCCUGGGAGGACCACCUGUGGCGAAGGCGGCUAACUGGAACGAACCUGACGGUGAGGGACGAAAGCUAGGGGCGCGAACCGGAUUAGAUACCCGGGUAGUCCUAGCCGUAACGAUGCGGACUUGGUGUUGGGAUGGCUUUGAGCCGCUCCGGUGCCGAAGGGAAGCUGUUAAGUCCGCCGCCUGGGAAGUACGGUCGCAAGACCGAAACUUAAAGGAAUUGGCGGGGGAGCACCACAACGCGUGGAGCCUGCGGUUUUAAAUUGGAUUCAACGCCGGACAUCUCACCAGGAGCGACAGCUGUAUGAUUACCAGGCUGAUGACCUUGCUUGACUAGCUGAGUAGUGGUGCAUGG